Molecule: ribosomal RNA, 253 nt
Filed under: uncultured bacterium
Lineage: Bacteria
Description: partial 16S ribosomal RNA
Rfam family: Bacterial small subunit ribosomal RNA
Source: RNAcentral
UACAGAGGUCUCAAGCGUUGUUCGGAUUCAUUGGGCGUAAAGGGUGCGUAGGUGGCGCCGUAAGUCGGGUGUGAAAUUUCGGAGCUUAACUCCGAAACUGCAUUCGAUACUGCCGUGCUUGAGGACUGGAGAGGAGACUGGAAUUUACGGUGUAGCGGUGAAAUGCGUAGAUAUCGUAAGGAAGACCAGUGGCGAAGGCGGGUCUCUGGACAGUUCCUGACGCUGAGACGCGAAAGCGUGGGGAGCGAACAGG